GGAGUGGGUUGCAAAAGAAGUAGGUAGCUUAACCUUCGGGAGGGCGCUUACCACUUUGUGAUUCAUGACUGGGGUGAAGUCGUAACAAGGUAACCGUAGGGGAACCUGCGGUUGGAUCACCUCCUUACCUUAAAGAA
RNAcentral lists this ribosomal RNA (137 nucleotides) under Acinetobacter baumannii. RNAcentral describes it as "partial 16S ribosomal RNA". It matches the Rfam family "Bacterial small subunit ribosomal RNA", at positions 1407 to 1533 of the family's 1533-position model. RNAcentral also lists the same sequence under 2 other names. The record is from RNAcentral. Lineage: Bacteria; Pseudomonadati; Pseudomonadota; Gammaproteobacteria; Moraxellales; Moraxellaceae.